UGUUGCUUUAAGGCCACCUGUGUUGUUACCCUAUUUCACUAUCGAACUCCUCGUUCGGCUAGCAACGACUAAGUCCAUCAUUCACUUCAAAAAACUGAGUUAAGGCAUUAAAAGAAACUGGGAUGGUCUUGUACUCAGUCGACUGCAACACCCACUCAAGUUGCCGCAAUCGACUUUCUGCCCCUUUUGUUCCUUUAUUGAAAUGGUUCACUCCGCUUCCAUCACUUUUAUGUGUUUAUCUUGUCAAACCCACUUCUUUUUUGUGCUUAAUGGUUAUAGAAACCAACUCAAGAUGUAAUAUUGAAGUGUGUUCAAAUUUUGGGAGUUUACGUAGGAGUGAGACUAGUAGACAUGACCAUCAACGACACCGGCGGAAGAGUUGGAAAUGCUUCUUAGAGGAGAAUGGAGAUAGGUUGUUGGUUCUAUAAUCACAUGAAGAAGAGGCGUACAUUGGCAAAAUAUGCGCAAAAUCAGAGAAAUGCACUCGACAAGGUUACUUAGCAAUAGCUGAAUAAAUCUGGGGAUUGAUGGCCUAAAGUCAAAUUGAUGUAUUGGAAGAAAAUGAUGAAGAGUUUUGUACAAUUAUGAUAUUUGUGA
This is a long non-coding RNA of Nicotiana tabacum (common tobacco), 597 nucleotides long. RefSeq lists it as uncharacterized. The record is from RefSeq and is a predicted model, not a curated record. NCBI's taxonomy places the organism in Eukaryota, Viridiplantae, Streptophyta, Magnoliopsida, Solanales, Solanaceae.